RNAcentral lists this ribosomal RNA (253 nucleotides) under uncultured bacterium. RNAcentral's name for it is "partial 16S ribosomal RNA". It matches the Rfam family "Bacterial small subunit ribosomal RNA", at positions 524 to 776 of the family's 1533-position model. The record is from RNAcentral.
UACAGAGGGUGCAAGCGUUGUUCGGAAUUAUUGGGCGUAAAGGGCGCGUAGGCGGUUCGGCAAGUCUCUAGUGAAAUCUCAGGGCUCAACUCUGAGUCUGCUGGGGAAACUGCCGGGCUUGAGUGUGGGAGAGGAGAGUGGAAUUCCCGGUGUAGCGGUGAAAUGCGCAGAUAUCAGGAGGAACACCGAUAGCGAAGGCAGCUCGCUGGGACGGUACUGACGCUGAGGCGCGAAAGCGUGGGGAGCGAACAGG